Mauremys mutica (yellowpond turtle) is the source of this 1194-nucleotide long non-coding RNA. RefSeq lists it as uncharacterized. The transcript has 4 exons. The record is from RefSeq and is a predicted model, not a curated record. Lineage: Eukaryota; Metazoa; Chordata; Testudines; Geoemydidae.
CUGUUGCCUAAUCAUAAGUGGGAGUGAUUACAGCCUCAGUCUGCAGCAUACACCUCCUGGAGCUUGCAUGCUGAGGAACCACUGAUGAGCAAGCUUACCUGAAACAGAUAAACAGCAGUGCUAUGAGAUUAUGGGUGAUCAGAAAUAAAAACUAAAAAAGAAGUGGCCCAUCGCCAUUGCAAGCCAAAACUGUGCAUUAGUCAACUCUGACGGCACCAUCUGCCUCAGUGGCCUGGAAUCUGGAAGAUCCUUCAUUCUGACCAACUUGCAAAGAAACAAUCCAUAACACCUAAUCAGAUGAUGGACCUGAACCAAACCGCCAUAUCGGAACAGUGCUGAAUACAAAGCCAAAUUCUGAUCCAAAUAAUGAAGUGAGUCCCUAGCUCCACAGUGGUAUGAACAAAAUAAUUGGAUCCAAACACCCUUGAAUAUUGUGGUGGCUGACAUCUAGAUCCCAAAAUGUUGUGGUGACUUGUGUGGAUGCCACAAAUGAAUGAACAUAUGGGGAAGGCCUAAAACAUAUGGCAGGAUCAACGCUGUUUUCAGUAUUAAAUGUUUGUAUUAUAUACACACUAGAAAUGACUAUCCUGUAGCUAUACUGCAAAACUUCAGAAAGGAAAUGAGAGAGAAGCCAGUGGUGUCUGUGGAGAUAGAGAAACGGAUGAUGCACUCAGCUACAGUGAAGAGACCACUAAGUAUCUACUGCUUGAGCAAUUAGAACUUGCUGACCUGCAUGCCUAUACAUCGCAAAGGCAGAUGUUUGCUUGCCCAGUGACAUGGAUGGACUUACAGGGAGAGACAGGUAACAGUCUUCAUGGCGGGCACAAGCUGCCAACACCACUAGGUCCCUCAGGCAAGGUCAAUUGAUUGCCAAGACCAUCCAAGCUUGAUUUUGAAAAAUGGCAGCAAAGGUUUCCAUUUAUUUGGUUUAAGGGAGAGAUGCUGGCAAUGAAACUAUGUAUACAGGACUAAGAAAUUAGGGCCUAAUCCAAAAUCCACUGAAGUCGCUAGAAGGUUUCUCAUUGUCUUUCAGGCCUGAUGCAAAGCCCAUCCAAGGAGCAUUCUUUUUGAACAGAGAGUGUGAAUAACAACAUUCUGUAGAGAUGAGGUUUCAGUGUCACUGGACUGUUCACCCAACGCCUGUAUUAAAAUUGCUAAUUGUGAGCCCUUCUCUGCUGCUUCAGAGAGCUACAC